This is a non-coding RNA of Phascolarctos cinereus (koala), 332 nucleotides long. The record is from RefSeq and is a predicted model, not a curated record. Lineage: Eukaryota; Metazoa; Chordata; Mammalia; Diprotodontia; Phascolarctidae.
AGGAAAACCAUAUUUCAGAAAUGCUAAGUCAUUAGUUUGCUGGGAACCAGAGGAAGUCUUUUAGAAAUGGCCAAGAGAUCCUUAAAACUUCUGAGGUGACUUUCAGACUCCUUGGUGGAAACUGCGUAGGAAUAAAAUGUGGAUAAGCAAGGAAAAGAAUAUGAAGGAUCAGUGUGCAUCAUAAUGGUGUUUUUGCUCAACUGGAUACAAAGGAGACAGACUUAAAAUGGACCCUUCUUCAUUGGUGCCCUCACACCUUCUCAAAAGGCAACUUGACUUCAACACUUCUUUAUUAAAGGCUUAUUUUUUUUCUCGUUUUUUUGUUUCUGAAA